CGGGUAACCUCGACCCAAUAGAUCGGGAUAACACCUGGAAACAGAUGCUAAUACCGGAUAACAACAGAUGAUGCCUAUCAACUGUUUAAAAGAUGGUUCUGCUAUCACUCUUGGAUGGACCUGCGGUGCAUUAGCUAGUUGGUAGGGUAACGGCCUACCAAGGCGAUGAUGCAUAGCCGAGUUGAGAGACUGAUCGGCCACAUUGGGACUGAGACACGGCCCAAACUCCUACGGGAGGCAGCAGGU
RNAcentral lists this ribosomal RNA (246 nucleotides) under uncultured Lactobacillus sp. RNAcentral's name for it is "partial 16S ribosomal RNA". It matches the Rfam family "Bacterial small subunit ribosomal RNA", at positions 118 to 354 of the family's 1533-position model. Lineage: Bacteria; Bacillati; Bacillota; Bacilli; Lactobacillales; Lactobacillaceae. The record is from RNAcentral.